CUGGGUUAUAAACAGGCCUCGUGCCUGCCACCCGCCCUCUGUCAUUUGCAAUUUUCUUGCUUCGGCCGCUGGUUGCGCGAGCGCGUACGUGCUCGCGGGGUCACGGUCGGUCUCCCAACUCUUUGAAUAUAUUUAUGAUGUCUGAAGAAAUGAUAAACGAAAUACA
RNAcentral lists this unclassified non-coding RNA (166 nucleotides) under uncultured fungus. RNAcentral describes it as "sequence contains ITS1, 5.8S rRNA gene". The record is from RNAcentral. Lineage: Eukaryota; Fungi.